This 253-nucleotide ribosomal RNA is filed under the name uncultured bacterium. RNAcentral describes it as "partial 16S ribosomal RNA". It matches the Rfam family "Bacterial small subunit ribosomal RNA", at positions 524 to 776 of the family's 1533-position model. The record is from RNAcentral.
UACGGAGGGUGCAAACGUUGCUCGGAAUCAUUGGGCGUAAAGCGCGCGUAGGCGGUUACUUAAGUUGGAUGUGAAAGCCCUCGGCUUAACUGAGGAAGUGCAUCCAAAACUGAGUAGCUAGAGUACGAAAGAGGGUCGCGGAAUUCCCGGUGUAGAGGUGAAAUUCGUAGAUAUCGGGAGGAACACCGGUGGCGAAGGCGGCGACCUGGGUCGAGACUGACGCUGAGGCGCGAAAGCUAGGGGAGCGAACGGG